GGGAUGGCCAUGCGGCGCAUUAGCAGUCGGCGGGGUAACGGCCCACCGAGGCGACGAUGCGUAGGGGUUCUGAGAGGAAGGUCCCCCACACUGGUACUGAGACACGGACCAGACUCCUACGGGAGGCAGCAG
This 132-nucleotide ribosomal RNA is filed under the name uncultured bacterium. RNAcentral's name for it is "partial 16S ribosomal RNA". It matches the Rfam family "Bacterial small subunit ribosomal RNA", at positions 222 to 354 of the family's 1533-position model. The record is from RNAcentral.